RNAcentral lists this long non-coding RNA (1161 nucleotides) under Ficedula albicollis (Collared flycatcher). RNAcentral describes it as "lncRNA (ENSFALG00000027381.1)". The record is from RNAcentral. Lineage: Eukaryota; Metazoa; Chordata; Aves; Passeriformes; Muscicapidae.
GCAGGAGUGGGACAGUGGAGAGGCACAGGGCAGGGCUGUGCUGCUGGAGGGGACAGUGUGACACUGGUGCAGGGGAAUGUUCCUCAGCGUGGAGCAUCUCCCCUCCACGGCCAGCCCUGCAGGAAAGGCUGCAAACCUUGUGCAAUUCCCAGCUCCUCCUUCUCUGUCCCAGCAUCCCUUCACAUCACCUUUGAUUCCUCAUUUAAAGGUGGUCUCUGGUGCUGUGCACAAAACAGGGUGAGUUGCUUUAGUUUGGCCACUGCUGCUGAUCCCCAGAGGCAUCAAAUCUGUGCAUUAAUAAUUUGUAUCAUUUUGGGAAGUUUUUAGCACCAAGCUGGGCUUUGCUGGUGCCCUGGAGUGGCCAGGGCUGGUUAUUCCUCUUUCAGGCUCCCUUCUCAACACAGUCCAAAUGGAAAUAUGUCCUCAGAGCAUCCCCAGUUUUGGCAGCACUCCUAACAUUCCCUGCUUCUCCUUAUUCCAGGGCUGUAGUGAUUGUUGAGAUGAUGAGAUUCUGUGUCCUGCCACCCUUUCCAGACACCUGUGUCUUCAGGGUUUGUCUGGGACACAGGAAACAUCCACUCCCUGAUGCUCUUGAGGGGUUGAACUGGAUAAAAACUCACCGCAGAUUUCAGAUUUUGGGCUCCAACUCUCGCAUCUCUACUGAGACACCCACCACACCUUUUAGGGUUUGAGUCUGGCCAGGAUGGAAAGGGUUGCAGGCAGCUCGAGGCAGACAGGAUUUUGGCAGGCAGGAGAGCGUUCCAAGGGCACAGUCCUGGCUGAAGGCAGGACCCCGCUGGGCUGCUCCGCUCCAGCGCCUCGCAGGGAGAUGUGUCCGUCUGUCCCGGCGUCUGUCCCCUCGUGUCCCAGCACUGCAGGACCCUGGGGCACUUACUGUCACUUCUGAUCUCGGGGGGAGCUGCUCCUUCCCCCUGUGCUCGCAGCAGGGCUUGGCUUUGGAAGCAGAAUUUUGGAAGUAGAAUUCCCGGGGAGCAAGGUCGAGCUGUCACCCUGUGGCUGGCAGAGCUGCUGGGCUGUGUCUCCAUCCACAGCAGUCACACCUCUCCUUUCCACCUCUUAAGAGGCAGCAAUAAAUUAAUUGGAGAUUAUUAAUUAGAUUAAUUGCAAAACUUCCAUGAGUCGCCGCCUUCUAGAUCCCAG